This 494-nucleotide ribosomal RNA is filed under the name uncultured bacterium. RNAcentral's name for it is "bacterial SSU rRNA". It matches the Rfam family "Bacterial small subunit ribosomal RNA", at positions 29 to 524 of the family's 1533-position model. The record is from RNAcentral.
AUUGAACGCUGGCGGCAUGCUUUACACAUGCAAGUCGAACGGUAACAGGUUAAGCUGACGAGUGGCGAACGGGUGAGUAAUGCAUCGGAACGUGCCCGGUCGUGGGGGAUAACGCAGCGAAAGCUGCGCUAAUACCGCAUACGAUCUGAGGAUGAAAGCGGGGGACCGUAAGGCCUCGCGCGAUCGGAGCGGCCGAUGUCAGAUUAGGUAGUUGGUGGGGUAAAGGCUCACCAAGCCGACGAUCUGUAGCUGGUCUGAGAGGACGACCAGCCACACUGGGACUGAGACACGGCCCAGACUCCUACGGGAGGCAGCAGUGGGGAAUUUUGGACAAUGGGCGCAAGCCUGAUCCAGCAAUGCCGCGUGUGUGAAGAAGGCCUGCGGGUUGUAAAGCACUUUCAGUGGGGAAGAACGGAUACGGGCCAAUACCCCGCAUCACUGACGUUACCCACAGAAGAAGCACCGGCUAACUCCGUGCCAGCAGCCGCGGUAAU